RNAcentral lists this long non-coding RNA (370 nucleotides) under Gallus gallus (chicken). Its description in RNAcentral is "lncRNA (ENSGALG00010000549.1)". The record is from RNAcentral. Lineage: Eukaryota; Metazoa; Chordata; Aves; Galliformes; Phasianidae.
CAAAGGAAAAGCAGGUCACACUCUGCACCUGCCGCUUCCCGGCAGCCCUCCUGCUGCCAGGCGGGAGUGAGGUGGCAGAUGGAAAGUGUCGUCUGCGUGCCAAGAUUGGCUGCAGCAGCGCUCCUGUGGUGGCUGUGGAGCCGUGUACCUUCGGUGUCGGUGCAGGUGGGUAUGGAGGCACGCCUCACUGCGGGGCCAUCCUCGCAGAAGCUCAUCCUGUUCCGCCUCGUGCCAGCGGGUUGCUCCUUGUUGGCGCCAGCCAUGCCGGAGCUCAUCCCUUCAGGUGCGUCUGCUCUCUACCAGAUGCUCCUUCAGGAUGCAGGACCCACCAGCGUGCACCGCCUUCAUACCCCUCCCGGGUGGCCGUGUC